GUAGGUGGCAAGCGUUGUCCGGAAUUAUUGGGCGUAAAGCGCGCGCAGGCGGUCCUUUAAGUCUGAUGUGAAAGCCCACGGCUCAACCGUGGAGGGUCAUUGGAAACUGGGGGACUUGAGUACAGAAGAGGAAAGCGGAAUUCCAAGUGUAGCGGUGAAAUGCGUAGAGAUUUGGAGGAACACCAGUGGCGAAGGCGGCUUUCUGGUCUGUAACUGACGCUGAGGCGCGAAAGCGUGGGGAGCAAACAGGAUUAGAUACCCUGGUAGUCCACGCCGUAAACGAUGAGCGCUAAGUGUUAGGGGGUUUCCCGCCCCCCUUAGUGCUGCAGCUAACGCAUUAAGCACUCCGCCUGGGGAGUACGGCCGCAGGCUG
RNAcentral lists this ribosomal RNA (373 nucleotides) under uncultured organism. Its description in RNAcentral is "partial 16S ribosomal RNA". It matches the Rfam family "Bacterial small subunit ribosomal RNA", at positions 527 to 896 of the family's 1533-position model. The record is from RNAcentral.